Microcebus murinus (gray mouse lemur) is the source of this 1429-nucleotide non-coding RNA. NCBI's taxonomy places the organism in Eukaryota, Metazoa, Chordata, Mammalia, Primates, Cheirogaleidae. The record is from RefSeq and is a predicted model, not a curated record.
AUGAGAGAGCUUUGUAGGAGAAAAUAAUAAAAUGCUUAAAAGUGAGAUAAGGUGGAUUAACAGGUUGUUUUCUAUUUCUUGUUUUCCAAGGUUUAUGAAAUAUGUUUAUGUUACCGUUUUCCUUGGAGGCAGGACAGUGUUAAGAACCAGGCCACGGUGUCAGACAGACCAAAUUUGAAUCCCAGCAUUGCCACUCACAAGCAGUGUGAUUGCAGAGAGUUUCCUUCUCUGUAAAAUUGGAAUAAUAACUGGAUACAUUUCAUAAGGUGGAUGUGAAGUUUUAAGAUAAUGGAUGGCCAACCACAGUGCUGACCUACCAGUGCAGGCACAUGUGAUGGGAUCAAGGAAGGUUCUGCGAGAUGCUGAAAUGAGACACAGAAUGCAGUUGGUCCAUAUUCAGGACUAAACCAAAUUCAUGCAAAGUAGCUGGACAACCAUAGACACCUUCCUUCCCCUAAAGGCCACUCUUGGCAACAAAGAAGAGGACAGAAGGGAUCAGACCACUUCCAAAAUAAAAAGAGGUGAAUGAACAAAACAGGAGCCUCACAUCUUAAACCCAUAGAACAAGAACACUGGGCCAGUGGAUGUGCAGACCCUUGGCACCUCACCAACCGGAAAAAGGAAGCGACUCCCUGGGGGAAGAGAGGCCGCAGGGCUCUGUGACAGAAACCCCUCCUGGAAACAGGAGGGCAGAGGAAGAACUUCAAUCAGACUCUGCUGCCUUAGAUGGUCGGUGAAAGAGUUCAAUGGGAUCAACAAAACGCAACACCAAUCUGCAAGCCAGUGAAGGUUCGUGUUUAUUUUUUUUCCUUCUUUUUUCUCUAUCCUUCAACCCACUUUAGAAAAUGAAAAAGGCCAAGUUCCUUGGAGUUCCCCUGAGACAUUCCCUGGGGCAGCACUGCCUACCUCAGUCUGAGGCCAUGGCAAGUUGGACGACCACACACUCCGGGUGGCCGGGGACAUGCUGGGCUAACUGCUGCUGUCCCUGUGUCCUGUCCAGGUCAGCAUGGCCUGGAUAGGAGACUCCCAUAACUUACCCAGCCACCCUCUUUCCAGCAGAAGAUUUUAAGCAGGCAAACAUAGCAAAUUCUCUUCUCUCUGUUUCCAAAUCACUACUGUUCCUUGCCUCUUCUCGCAAUCCUUCUCAGCCUCCUUUGCUGGAUCCUCUUAAAUAAAGGCCAACAUUUCCCAGGUCUGACUCCUUUCUCUUUUCUUCUUUCCUUCUGUGUGUCAACUUUUCCAACCAUGAAUAUGCCAACCUCCAAACCGCCCUUUCCUUCCCUGACUUUUCAACUUCCAACUUCCAUCUCCAGCUGCUGAGAAAAAGCUCCAAAGCAUGUCCCAAAGCUAAACUUGCACCAAAAUACGGUCAUGGUCACUGUUUGGUGAUUUGCUGCCAGUCUGAUCCACUAUAGCUUUCUGAAUCCCA